This is a small nuclear RNA of Rhinopithecus bieti (black snub-nosed monkey), 107 nucleotides long. NCBI's taxonomy places the organism in Eukaryota, Metazoa, Chordata, Mammalia, Primates, Cercopithecidae. The record is from Ensembl.
GUGGUCACUUUGGCAGCACAUAUACUCAAAUUGGAACAAUACAGAUAACAUUAGCAUGGCCUCUGUGAAAAGAUGACAUGCAAACUCAUGAAGCAUUCCAUAUUUUU